UACGAAGGGGGCUAGCGUUGCUCGGAAUCACUGGGCGUAAAGCGCACGUAGGCGGAUUGCUAAGUCAGGGGUGAAAUCCUGGAGCUCAACUCCAGAACUGCCUUUGAUACUGGCGACCUUGAGUCCGGGAGAGGUGAGUGGAACUGCGAGUGUAGAGGUGAAAUUCGUAGAUAUUCGCAAGAACACCAGUGGCGAAGGCGGCUCACUGGCCCGGUACUGACGCUGAGACACGAAAGCGUGGGGAGCAAACAGG
Molecule: ribosomal RNA, 253 nt
Filed under: uncultured bacterium
Lineage: Bacteria
Description: partial 16S ribosomal RNA
Rfam family: Bacterial small subunit ribosomal RNA
Source: RNAcentral